RNAcentral lists this ribosomal RNA (301 nucleotides) under uncultured bacterium. RNAcentral describes it as "partial 16S ribosomal RNA". It matches the Rfam family "Bacterial small subunit ribosomal RNA", at positions 509 to 807 of the family's 1533-position model. The record is from RNAcentral.
CAGCAGCCACGGGAACACGAACCGUGCGAACGUUAUUCGGAAUCACUGGGCUUAAAGCGCGUGUAGGCGGGCCGUCACGUCGGCUGCUGAAAUCCCCCGGCUCAACCGGGGAAGUGGCACCGAUACGAGCGGCCUUGAGGGGGGUAGGGGGGUCUGGAACUUCCGGUGGAGCGGUGAAAUGCGUUGAGAUCGGAAGGAACGCCCGUGGCGAAAGCGAGGCCCUGGACCCUUUCUGACGCUGAGACGUGAAAGCCAGGGGAGCGAACGGGAUUAGAGACCCCCGUAGUCCCUGUCUCUUAUA